Non-coding RNA from Phrynosoma platyrhinos (Desert horned lizard), 71 nucleotides. The record is from the annotation of a GenBank genome assembly. NCBI's taxonomy places the organism in Eukaryota, Metazoa, Chordata, Lepidosauria, Squamata, Phrynosomatidae.
GAUUUGUAGUUUGGUGGUUUGAGCGUUGGACUAUGACUCUGGGGACCAGGGUUUGAUUCCCUGCUCAAGCG